GGCGCAUGUGGCCUAGUGGUUAAAGUGUCAGCUUUGGUUGCUGGAAGUAACGGGUUUGAACCCCGGCCGUGUCU
Potamilus streckersoni is the source of this 74-nucleotide non-coding RNA. The record is from the annotation of a GenBank genome assembly. NCBI's taxonomy places the organism in Eukaryota, Metazoa, Mollusca, Bivalvia, Unionida, Unionidae.